CCUACGGGAGGCAGCAGUGGGGAAUAUUGGACAAUGGGGGCAACCCUGAUCCAGCCAUGCCGCGUGAGUGAUGAAGGCCUUCGGGUUGUAAAGCUCUUUUGGCGGGGACGAUGAUGACGGUACCCGCAGAAUAAGCCCCGGCUAACUUCGUGCCAGCAGCCGCGGUAAGACGAAGGGGGCAAGCGUUGUUCGGAAUUACUGGGCGUAAAGCGAGUGUAGGCGGCGAGCCAAGUCGGGUGUGAAAGCCUCGAGCUCAACUCGAGAAAUGCAUUCGGUACUGGCCUGCUAGAGGACCGGAGAGGAUAGUGGAAUUCCCAGUGUAGUGGUGAAAUACGUAGAGAUUGGGAAGAACACCAGUGGCGAAGGCGGCUAUCUGGACGGUUACUGACGCUAAGACUCGAAAGCGUGGGGAGCAAACAGGAUUAGAUACCCUGGUAGUCCACGCCGUAAACGAUGGGUGCUAGACGUUGGCGGGCUUGCUCGUCAGUGUCGCAGCUAACGCGUUAAGCACCCCGCCUGGGGAGUACGGCCGCAAGGUUGAAACUCAAAUGAAUUGACGG
RNAcentral lists this ribosomal RNA (560 nucleotides) under uncultured bacterium. Its description in RNAcentral is "bacterial SSU rRNA". It matches the Rfam family "Bacterial small subunit ribosomal RNA", at positions 338 to 916 of the family's 1533-position model. The record is from RNAcentral.